RNAcentral lists this unclassified non-coding RNA (385 nucleotides) under Artemisia spicigera. RNAcentral's name for it is "partial external transcribed spacer". Lineage: Eukaryota; Viridiplantae; Streptophyta; Magnoliopsida; Asterales; Asteraceae. The record is from RNAcentral.
GAGUGGUGUUUGGUUUGUUACGUGUGGUUGGCUGCGGCGUUUGCAACAACUUCCAUGCUUUCAGACCUCUUCAUUCGUGCGGCAAGGCUUGUAUCGCCUUGAGCGUAUUGUGGGUUUUCUGUGUUAGCUACCUAAUCAAUGGUAUCGGUUGGAUUGAUCAAUGUUUCAUUUCGUCUACCGUCGCAUUCGCGGCGUGAGAUGAACCUUGAUGCGGUCUCUUUGAUCCACCUCGUCGAAGCGCAUGCUUUGACGUUGUGGCACAUUGAGCAUUGCUUGGUCUCUUGUAUACGGAACAUAUAGUGGGCAUGGAUCUAACGAUUCUCGUUUGCCCUCAUAUUAGCGUAACGCUUCUCUUACACGACUUGCUCCACGUUUUAGCUCGUAC